CGUGAAAUUGUUGAAAGGGAAACGCUUGAAGUCAGUCGCGUUUGGCGGGACUCAGCCUUGCUUUUGCUUGGUGUACUUCCUGUCAGACGGGUCAACAUCAGUUUUGACCGGUGGAUAAGGGCUUGGAGAAUGUGGCAUCUUCGGGUGUGUUAUAGCUUCAGGUCGUAUACAUCGGUUGGGACUGAGGAACUCAGCACGCCGAAAGGUCCG
This 210-nucleotide ribosomal RNA is filed under the name Mycena illuminans. RNAcentral's name for it is "partial small subunit ribosomal RNA". The record is from RNAcentral. Lineage: Eukaryota; Fungi; Basidiomycota; Agaricomycetes; Agaricales; Mycenaceae.